UACGUAGGUCCCGAGCGUUGUCCGGAUUUAUUGGGCGUAAAGCGAGCGCAGGUGGUUUAUUUAGUCUGGUGUAAAAGGCAGUGGCUCAACCAUUGUAUGCAUUGGAAACUGGUAGACUUGAGUGCAGGAGAGGAGAGUGGAAUUCCAUGUGUAGCGGUGAAAUGCGUAGAUAUAUGGAGGAACACCGGUGGCGAAAGCGGCUCUCUGGCCUGUAACUGACACUGAGGCUCGAAAGCGUGGGGAGCAAACAGG
Molecule: ribosomal RNA, 252 nt
Filed under: uncultured bacterium
Lineage: Bacteria
Description: partial 16S ribosomal RNA
Rfam family: Bacterial small subunit ribosomal RNA
Source: RNAcentral